Molecule: non-coding RNA, 1794 nt
Organism: Aegilops tauschii subsp. strangulata
Lineage: Eukaryota; Viridiplantae; Streptophyta; Magnoliopsida; Poales; Poaceae
Source: RefSeq, a predicted model, not a curated record
CACCCAUGCCCGCCGAUUCCGGCGAGUCCCGGCGGCGGGUGGCACAUCAACGACCUCCCCUGGCCCCGCUCCUUCCUCCCAUCCUUUCAGAUCAGUCGCUGGAGGCCUCCCGCGCUCUCUCCCGAUCCUCAGCCGUGGCUAGGGUUUCGGGUGCGGCGUCCCCUUCGUCGCCGGCGAGGCUCUGGCGCCUCGAGGCCUCCGGCGGCUCGUCUCCGUCGUGUUCCCAGCCCACCGCGUAAUGGACGGUCCUCCCGUGCCCGAUGGCCAUGAGGUGCACGCGAUUUGGUGUAGCAGCCGCCUGUCAACAUCGACGAGGAGGGCGUUCGGGACCCAAGCGCAAGCCGACGAGCCUGGAUGCUACCAACAAGCAGCCGACCAUGCCGAUGCGAUACAUCCGGUGCUGCCUGGCAGCCAGCCCCACAUCUCCACCCAGGUAUAGCUCGCCACUCCCUUAUCCUCACUGGUAAGGAUCGAUGGCGAGGAUAAAUAGUUGGGAUGUAGGUAAUGUUCAGAUUUGUGAGUAUUGAUGCUUGUGCUUUCUUGUUCAUGUUCUCGUGAGGGAGAAGGGAAAAUGCUGCAGCUAAUGGAUGUUUAGUGAGGCUAUGUUCUGAUUUGACAAAGCUGAAGGAAGCACAUGCCACAAAUUUCUCGCAGUCAUUAUUCUAUCUCUGCGAUUGCUUCUUUGGAUGAGGAACAGGCGGAUACUUUGUGCAGAAAGGGAACUGCCUUCUUGGUUUAAUCAAUUGAGAUUAGCUUCUUCUAAUGUUAACUACUUAAUGGAGCUUUUGUUGCUGAGUGUUAUUUACGGGACAAGUACGUGUCAUGAACUAACUUCAGAUUUUUGGUUUAUAAGUGUCGAGCAUAACUAUCCAUGGUGGUAUAUAUACAAUUGACAGACUUGUAUUAGGCUUCAGAAUUGAAUGCAAUGAAACUGAUUAAGGCUGCAGGCAGGAUAUGGAACACCAUGACUUCAAUUUACAGGAUCUGAAAUAGCUUGGUCAGCUUUCUUCCCACAUCAUAUCAGAUUCUGUAUGGAGUCAUCUUGGCACAGUUAUGUUCAUCAUAGUAGUAAACGGCAAAAGAGAAAUGCUCAUGUCUCGGUCCAUCUAAAUUUCAGAGAACUCACUGUUCGACCUCGCUGGCACCGCCUUAGAUGGGCUUGCUGCUAUUUUAGUCUGGUCAUAUGCAGAUUUGUUAUCUUCAAGCAAAGCUAAAUAGUGAAGAGGAUGAGCAUCCAGAGUAUAUCAUCCGCGGAACACCUGGCAGGAUCCAGCACUGUGGAGAGCUUGAUGAUCACUGUUACUGGGGUAAUGAGGUUAAGUUAUAUCAAUGGCACGUAGGCGCUCUCUUUGCUAUGUUCUUGCGCAAAAAGCCAGGCAUCAACUACUAUGUGUGCACAAUCAAUAAAACAUUUGCCAAGCUAGGCCAGCGCAUGAACCUGCUGGACUACAUUGAUCCACAUAAUGAUACACUCAUGGUCAAGCUCGCAAAUGGGUGUCUGCUUGCCAGAUGUCGCAUCAUGCUAGAAACUGACAAGAGGACAACCAUAACCACCGUCUGGUCCGAGUUUCGUCGCCGCGCCAACAUUCGCGAAGGAGACGUUUGCGUUGCUAUUUGAUCCUUUUGAGGGUAUGAUGUCUACUACGCAACCUUCUUUUUGUAGAUGUUGUUGGGCCUCCAAGUGCAGAGGUUUGUAGGACAGUAGCAAAUUUUCCUCAAGUGGAUGACCUAAGGUUUAUAAAUCCGUGGGAGGCGUAGGAUGAAGAUGGUCUCUCAAGCAACCCUGCAACCAAA